UCUCCUUGAAAACGGGUGGUAAUACCGGAUGCUCCGCUCCAUCGCAUGGUGGGGUGGGAAAUGCUUUUGCGGCAUGGGAUGGGGUCGCGUCCUAUCAGCUUGUUGGCGGGGUGAUGGCCCACCAAGGCGUUGACGGGUAGCCGGCCUGAGAGGGUGACCGGCCACAUUGGGACUGAGAUACGGCCCAGACUCCUACGGGAGGCAGCAGUGGGGAAUAUUGCACAAUGGGCGCAAGCCUGAUGCAGCGACGCCGCGUGCGGGAUGGAGGCCUUCGGGUUGUAAACCGCUUUUGUUCAAGGGCAAGGCACGGUUUCGGCCGUGUUGAGUGGAUUGUUCGAAUAAGCACCGGCUAACUACGUGCCAGCAGCCGCGGUAAUACGUAGGGUGCGAGCGUUAUCCGGAUUUAUUGGGCGUAAAGGGCUCGUAGGCGGUUCGUCGCGUCCGGUGUGAAAGUCCAUCGCCUAACGGUGGAUCUGCGCCGGGUACGGGCGGGCUGGAGUGCGGUAGGGGAGACUGGAAUUCCCGGUGUAACGGUGGAAUGUGUAGAUAUCGGAAAAGAACACCA
RNAcentral lists this ribosomal RNA (565 nucleotides) under Bifidobacterium animalis subsp. lactis. RNAcentral's name for it is "bacterial SSU rRNA". It matches the Rfam family "Bacterial small subunit ribosomal RNA", at positions 145 to 711 of the family's 1533-position model. The record is from RNAcentral. Lineage: Bacteria; Bacillati; Actinomycetota; Actinomycetes; Bifidobacteriales; Bifidobacteriaceae.